This 1248-nucleotide ribosomal RNA is filed under the name Eremobates cf. palpisetulosus SEM-2008. RNAcentral's name for it is "16S ribosomal RNA". The stretch from base 823 to 1248 matches the Rfam family "Bacterial large subunit ribosomal RNA", at positions 2048 to 2713 of the family's 2925-position model. Lineage: Eukaryota; Metazoa; Arthropoda; Arachnida; Solifugae; Eremobatidae. The record is from RNAcentral.
UUCGUAGGAGUUUAUUUUAAAUUUAGGUAAUGUAUUGUGAUGAAGUUUUGGAUGAUUAGAUAUUAAGGAUAAUUUGAUUUAGUGAUAGAUGAUUAGUACCGUUAGGGAAAAUAAUUAAAUUAUUGUUGAUUUUUAUAGAAUAGCUUUAGGUUAGUACCUUUUGUAUCAGGGGUGAAAGAUUAGAAUUAUAAAUUUAUAAUUUCCGAAUGCAAAAGGGUUACAUUUAUGAAGAAGUUAUGUGGCAUAAUAGUUUUAUAUAUGAAUGUGGAGGAGAAAUUUCAUUCGGGUUUGCGGAUAUCUGAUUUCUUGAGAUUGGAUUUAAUCUUAGCUGUUAAAUUGAUGAUGAUAGGUUUGUUUUAUCGUUUAGUUAACGGUUUAUCAGAUUGGGGAUAAGCUUGAUUUGGUAUACAUAUUUGAUGGAGUUUAUUAGGAUUUGGGCUUGAAAGUUGCUUUUAUGUGUUAUAACUAACUAUAAAUUGCACGGGUUGAUUGUAUUGUUAUUGAGAUUUUUCCUUUAAUUAUUAAAUGGAUUGAAUUUAUGUUUAUAUGAGUAGAUGUAUUGUUAUUUAAAUUGGAGUUUGAUCAGAAAUGUGGUUUGAUAUUUACUAUAGAGGAAUUCGGCAAAUUAGAUUUGUCCACCUGUUUAUCAAAAACAUGGCUUUUAGGUUUUAUUAAGGGUCUUUUCUGCUCAAUGAUUGAUUAAAUAGCCGCGGUAUUUUGACUGUGCAAAGGUAGCAUAAUAAAUUGUCUUUUAAUUGGAGACUGGAAUGAAUGAUGGGAUGUGAUGAAUGCUGUCUUUAUAGUAAUUGAUUGAAAUUUACUUUUUUAUGAAAAGGUUAAGAUUUGAUUGGUAGACGAGAAGACCCUAUCAAGCUUGAUUUUGAGAAUAGUUUUAUUUUAUUUUAUUAGUAGGUGGAUUGUAAUUUAAAUUUUGUUGGGGCAAUGUUUGAAUAUAUUGUAAUUUUUUAUUGUUUGUUAGAUUUUGAUCCAUUAUUAAUGAUUAAAGGAGUAAGUUACUGUAGGGAUAACAGCGUUAUUAGUCUGGAGAGUUCAUAUUGGUAGACUAGAUUGCGACCUCGAUGUUGGUUUAAUGAAUCUUUAUGGUGUAGCAGCUUUAUAAGAGGGUCUGUUCGACCUUUGAAUCAUUACAUGAUCUGAGUUCAGAUCGGCGUGAGCCAGAUCGGUUUCUAUCUGCAAUUGAUGUUGGGUAUUAUAGUACGAAAGGACCUAAUAGCUGCAAAUUUUGUU